RNAcentral lists this ribosomal RNA (1237 nucleotides) under Escherichia coli. Its description in RNAcentral is "bacterial LSU rRNA". It matches the Rfam family "Bacterial large subunit ribosomal RNA", at positions 505 to 1744 of the family's 2925-position model. The record is from RNAcentral. Lineage: Bacteria; Pseudomonadati; Pseudomonadota; Gammaproteobacteria; Enterobacterales; Enterobacteriaceae.
GAGGGAAAGGCGAAAAGAACCCCGGCGAGGGGAGUGAAAAAGAACCUGAAACCGUGUACGUACAAGCAGUGGGAGCACGCUUAGGCGUGUGACUGCGUACCUUUUGUAUAAUGGGUCAGCGACUUAUAUUCUGUAGCAAGGUUAACCGAAUAGGGGAGCCGAAGGGAAACCGAGUCUUAACUGGGCGUUAAGUUGCAGGGUAUAGACCCGAAACCCGGUGAUCUAGCCAUGGGCAGGUUGAAGGUUGGGUAACACUAACUGGAGGACCGAACCGACUAAUGUUGAAAAAUUAGCGGAUGACUUGUGGCUGGGGGUGAAAGGCCAAUCAAACCGGGAGAUAGCUGGUUCUCCCCGAAAGCUAUUUAGGUAGCGCCUCGUGAAUUCAUCUCCGGGGGUAGAGCACUGUUUCGGCAAGGGGGUCAUCCCGACUUACCAACCCGAUGCAAACUGCGAAUACCGGAGAAUGUUAUCACGGGAGACACACGGCGGGUGCUAACGUCCGUCGUGAAGAGGGAAACAACCCAGACCGCCAGCUAAGGUCCCAAAGUCAUGGUUAAGUGGGAAACGAUGUGGGAAGGCCCAGACAGCCAGGAUGUUGGCUUAGAAGCAGCCAUCAUUUAAAGAAAGCGUAAUAGCUCACUGGUCGAGUCGGCCUGCGCGGAAGAUGUAACGGGGCUAAACCAUGCACCGAAGCUGCGGCAGCGACGCUUAUGCGUUGUUGGGUAGGGGAGCGUUCUGUAAGCCUGUGAAGGUGUGCUGUGAGGCAUGCUGGAGGUAUCAGAAGUGCGAAUGCUGACAUAAGUAACGAUAAAGCGGGUGAAAAGCCCGCUCGCCGGAAGACCAAGGGUUCCUGUCCAACGUUAAUCGGGGCAGGGUGAGUCGACCCCUAAGGCGAGGCCGAAAGGCGUAGUCGAUGGGAAACAGGUUAAUAUUCCUGUACUUGGUGUUACUGCGAAGGGGGGACGGAGAAGGCUAUGUUGGCCGGGCGACGGUUGUCCCGGUUUAAGCGUGUAGGCUGGUUUUCCAGGCAAAUCCGGAAAAUCAAGGCUGAGGCGUGAUGACGAGGCACUACGGUGCUGAAGCAACAAAUGCCCUGCUUCCAGGAAAAGCCUCUAAGCAUCAGGUAACAUCAAAUCGUACCCCAAACCGACACAGGUGGUCAGGUAGAGAAUACCAAGGCGCUUGAGAGAACUCGGGUGAAGGAACUAGGCAAAAUGGUGCCGUAACUUCGGGAGAA